GGCCGGGCAGCGCGAGCGCAAGGGACAGGGAGGGUCGUGGCGACACUCGCGCCAGCUCCCGGGACGGCUGGGCUCGGGCUGGUCGCCGACCUCCGACCCUCCACUAGAUGCCUGGCAGAGCCCGGCGCGUCCGGAGCCCGCGCCCCUCAGAGGGAAGGGGUCGCGCGUCGCCGCGGCGGCCCUGAGGCUGACGGUCGGGAGGUGAAAGGCCGGAGUGCGGGGUCAGGACGCCUCCUGGAGGGGGCGCGGCGCAGGGGGCCGCGGGGAAGCCGCCGAGGGCGCGGAGCGGGAAGGAAGGACAGUGGCCACCCCGCCUCCGCCUGGGCACGGGGCAGGGACCCGCGCGAGGCGGUGCCGGGGAGGUCCUCACGUACUCAAAAACAAGCAGAAAAGGCAUCCAGGGCCCCUUCCCGAACUCCCCACGGGCUGCCAGGGUGCAGAGAAGAAGCGCCUGAGGAGGAAGUGCCACACAAUGGGAGAGAACAAAGGGGAGCGGAGCGAGACCGCGGCCUGCGCCCGCCCCCCGCUUGCGCACAGUCCCCGCCCCGCCCCGCGGGCGCCGCCGCCGCCGCCCUCCCUCCCGCGCCUCCUUCUGACCCCGAGCGAGAGACCUGGUCGGGAGUCCGGCGGCUAGAGUUGAUUGCAAGGGGCCUGUUGCUCGACUGUGCGUUAAAGAGGCUAGAGGGAGCCUAGGUAGACGUGGGGCGCAAGCUGGAGCCGGCAGCUUGCGAGGGGGCCUUUACGUGAUGAGGCUCACCAUGGGGUCUCCAGCGAGGUGUCUGCAGAGCUUCGAUGGUGAGAGGAGGAACUCGAUUUCUCGUUUUCUGGAGUUGGGAUGUAGACAUAGAGAGAUCUGUUACAUCUGAGAUGAAAACCCUGCACAAUUCACGUUAGGGUUGGCCAAUUGUUUGCUUGACCUUAAAUGGUUAGUGUGGUUUAAGCUUCCCCAAAAUGCGCUGUGAGCUGAGCUUCCACUUUUGGAAUGAUUGCAGAAUUCGGUGCUUAAGAGAUGAGAAACUUCGUUCUACCAGUAAUGGAAGAAACGCUUCACCUUAAUCACCCUCCUUGUCUUUCCCCUCCCUUUGACUAUGUAGGACUCGAUAACACAACAUUUGAAAGAUUCUACUCUAUGAAAUAAGCACAGAUUGAAAUUCAGUAUUUGCCAAGGAAUAUUAAACAUGAAUUACUGGGAUUGAGGAAAGCCUGAUUUAUUUACUUGUUAGUGUCUGGAAUUCUGUUGGCCAGAUUCAUAGCAUUCAUUGUAUGAGUAUAAUUGGAACAUUUACUCUAAUGUAGAUGCAGAUGCAUCUGCAAUUAGAUGUGCAAGGACGCUGCCAGCUAACUAGCUGCACGACUUUGAGCGAAUUACUGGGUCAGAACUUGUAUCUACCCAUCUCAGAAACAGAAAUAGUGGGAUCCGCGUUGUCUAGUUGUUAUGAAGAGUCAAAAUAUCUUUGGUAACUCACCUAGCAUAGUAUCUGACACUAUUAGGUGAAUACUAAAUAUUAGCUAUCAUUGUCUCCCCACUUGAGCUAUGUAAACUAAUAGGACCUUUAGGAGAAUAUACUAUUAAUAGAAUCUUGGAGAUAGAGGAAAGGUAGAAACCCCUUGCUAGUUUGUUACAAGGUCUCCCCUUCUCCAUGCUCUCCCCUGACCCCCAUGCUAUUUCAACUGGGGGGAUGGGCAGGAACCAUUGAGAAACACUAGGGCAAAAAACAUGUUCAUGAAUAAUAGGGGAAGGAAAGGAACUUGGGUAUAGAAAACUAGAGGCAAAAGGUGAGGCAAGACCAACCAUAUAAUUUGGUACUUGAGACUCAAGUGAACUUAUUUUGUGUGUGUUACAUUAUAACAAUUUUUGAAUAAAAUAGGACAUAUCGGUUAACGUGAGUUUGAAGAUUUUACAAAUAAUAGUUCCCAUUUAUUAAGCACUUCGAAUGUGCCGUAUGCGCAUAAACACUUUAUAUGCAAUGUCUCAUUUAAUCUUAAGGACAGCCCCAAAGUAUCCCCAACUUUAUGGAUGAAGAUACCCACGCUUGGAAAUACUAAGUAAGUUGGUCAAGGUCUCACAACCUGGAAGUGGUCAAGCAGGGGUUCAAAUCCAAGAGCAUCUGACUCCCCACACUGUUCUGUACUGAGCUUUGUAUGGUGAAAAAUGGGGUUCCUCAGCUUUAAGUCAGUGUGUGUUUACAAAAAUUGCUUGGGUGGGGCCGGAGGAGGAGGCUUCCAUUGAGACUUUUCCUAUGUAACUAUCAGCCGUCUGACUUGCAAAAGGACUCAACCAAAAUUUUACAAAGCAAAUACUGCAAACCUCAUUAUGGUCUUUGCUCCAAGCUUUGUAGAAUAUUUUAGAUUCAUUUUAAGAGAUUUAUGCAGCAAGGCAUUCUGAAAGGCACAUUUUCAAUAUUAGUUAUAUUUAGCUACUUUUUAUACCCUAGAGACCCAAGAUUCACAUUGCAAAACACAUGCAAGGUAUCCAGAUGUACAAAGUAAUCAACAAAUUAAGAUCACAAGAGAACUUUGGCAGUUCAGCAAACCAAAAUAAACUGCACUGUUGUAACUACCACUUACUGGUUGAUUACCUUCUUUGUACCUAGCAUUUUACACAUACCUCUGAUCUCCACAAUCCUGUGAGGGAACUCUUAGUGCUCCAUUUUUAUAGAUGAAGAUACUGAAGUUUAGAGAGUGCAUGUAAUUUGCUCAUUACCAUGUGUCCAGUAAGUGGGUAAAAGCAGAUUAGAAUACAGGUCUGCCUCCAAAUCGACUCCAAAAUCUGUCUUCUCCACAAGUAUUGCCUUGGGAGGUGUUCAUUUUACUUCUAAUAAUGUCAAUCUUUGGAAGUAAUCCUAUAGAAAACACCCUAGAGUAAAUAAUAAAUUAUCCCCCCACCCGGGGGGAGCUUAGAAAUAAAUGAGGAUAUUUUAAGAAUAAAAUAGUAAAAAUUUAAUAUGUGAAUACACACAUUAAAGGCAUCAGGCUGUUUCCACCAGUAAAGUUUUGCUUCAUUAGUGUAGGAAGUCUUUAUUAUCCCAGUGUGAUUAGUACUCCUCAAAGUAAAUCUACUUAAAGCUGGGACCAAAUUUCAGACCAAUCAGUGAAGAAAGCUUUGCUUAAGACUUUAUUUGAAAAUAAAACUAAAUGUUAUUAAAAUACAUUCAUUCUGUCCUAUAUGGGCAUACCUCAUUUUAUUGUACAUAGCUUUAUUAUGCCUUGCAGAUACUGCUUUUUUAUACAAAUCGAAGGUUUGUGGCAACCCUGCUUGGAACAAGUCUUAUCAGCACAAUUUUCCCAACAACAUGUACCCACUUUAUGUCUCUGUGUAACAUUUUGGUAAUCCUCACAAUAGUUCAAACUUUUUUUGUUAUUAUAUCUGAUAUGGUGAUCUGUGAUCAGUUAUUUCGGUUUUACCAUUGUAAUUGUUUUAAGGCACCAUGAACUGUGCCCAAAUAAGACAUAGAACUUAACUAGUGUGUGUGUGCGUGCUAAUUACUCCACCGACUGGCUCUUCCCCUCCUCUCCUCAGGCCUCCCUAUUCGUUAAGACACAACAAUAAUGAAAUUAGGCCAGUUAAUAUCCCCACUAUGGCCUCUAAGUGUGCAAGUGAAAGGAAGAGUGACAUAUCUCUUUAAAUCAAAAUCUAGACAUAAGCUUAGUGAAGAAGGUAUAUCAAACACCGAGAUAGACCAAAAGCUAGGCCUUUACACCAAACAGUUGGCCACUCUGUGAAUGGAAAGAAAAAGUUAUUGAAGGAAAUUAAAAAUGCUACUCCAAUAAACACACAGAUGAUAAGAAAGCAAAACAGCUUUAUUGCUGAUAUGGAGAACGUUUUAGUGGUGUGGAUGGAAGAUCAAACCAGCAACAACAUUCUUUUAAGCUAAAACCUAAUCCAGAGCAAAACCCUGACUCUCUUCAAUAUUACGAAGGAUGAGAGAGGUGAGGAAGUUGCAGAAGAAAAGUUGGAAGAUAGCAGAGGUCGAUUUAUGAGGUUUAAGGGAAAAAGUCAUCUCCAUGACAUUAAAGUACAAGGGAAGGAGCAAGUAGUAAUGUAGAAGAUGCAGCAAAUUAUCCAAAAGACUGAGCUAAAAUCAUUGAUAAGGGUAGAUGAUGCAGCCUUCCAUUGAAAGAAGAUGCUCUCUAGGACUUUCAUAGCUAGAGGAAGAAAGCAAUGUCUGGCUUCAAAACUUCAAAGGACAGGUUGAUUCUCUUGUUAGGAUCUAAUGCACCUGGUUCCUUUAACUUGAAGGCAAUGCUCAUUUACCAUUUUGAAAGUUGUAGGGCCCUUAAGAAUUAUACUACAUCUACUCUACCUGUGUUCUAUAAAUAGAAGAACAAAGCACAUCUGUUUAUAUGAUGGUUUACUAAUAUUUUAAGCUCACUGUUGAGACCUACUCUUUAGGAAAAAAGAUUCCUUUCAAAAUGUUACUGCUCAUUGACAAUGCACCUGGCCAUCCAAGAGUUCUAAUGGAGAUAUAUAAGGAGUUGUACAUGUUGUUGUCAUGCCUAGCUAACACAACAUCCAUUAUGCAGCCUGUGGAUCAAGGAAUAAUUUCAGCUUUUAAAUCUUAUUAUUAAGGAAAUACAUUUCAUAAGACUAUAAUUGCCAUAGAUAGUGAUUUUCUGAUGGAUCUGGGCAAAGUAAAUUAACAACCUUCUGAAAAGAAUUCACCAUACUAGAUGCUAUUGAGAACAUUUGUGAUUCAUUUGUGGAAGAGGUCAGAAUAUCAACAUUAACAGGAGUUUAGAAGAAGUUGAUCCCAACCCUUCUGGGUGACUUUGAGGGGUUCAAGACUUCAGUGGAGAAAGUAACUGCAGAUCGGGUGAGAAUAGCAAAAGAACUAGAAGUAGAGCCCAAAGAGGUGACAAAAAUGCUGCAAUCUCAUGAUAAAAAUUACAUGAAUGAGGAGUUGCUUCUUACGGAUUAGCAAAGAAAGUUCUUUUCUGAGAUGGAAUCUACUUCUGGUGAAGAUGCUAUGAACAUUGUUGAAAUAACAAACUACUUAGAAUAUUAUUAUACAUAAAAUGAGUUGAUAAGGUAAUCACAGGGUUUGAGAGGAUUGACUCUAAUUUUGAAAGAAGCUGUACUUUUGGUAACAUGCUAUCAAACAGCAUUGCAUGCUACAGAGAAACCUGUCAUGAAAGGAAGCAUCAGUGUGACCAAAUUUAUUGUUGUCUUUUUCUAAGAAAUUGCCACAGCCCCUCCAGCCUUCAGCAACCCACUCUGAUCAGUCAGCAGCCAUUGACAUUGAGGAAAGACCUUCUACCAGGAAAAAGAUUAUGACUUGCUGAAGGCUCAGAUGAUAGUUACCAAUUUUUAGUAGCAAAAUAUUUUAAAAUUAAGGAAAAAAUGAACUGGUUACAACCACAGGAGCCUGGUCACCGCGGCAGUACUAUUGCUAUUGUCAAUGCAAACAUCCAAAGACAUUUUAGUUAAUAUGUGUGUUUUUUGUGAGUUUAAUUAGCAUGGGUCUGACUUCCUAGGUUUGUUUAAUUUUAAGACACUAACAUAUUGAGAUUUCUAGACAUGAUAUACUUUAAAAAAUGGUCUCGGUGAAUUAACCAAGAACUCUUAUUAUCUUCUUCAGAAGACAUCCCAAUCUUGCCACUAGCUUUUAGAAUUCUGUGGGCAUAUUACAGUUUAACAAAACAUUUAUUUUUAAAUAAAAUGCCAAAGCCAACCCUGAAUGUUACAUCUUACAUUGCAAGGGGUCAUACAAAAUGGAUAAAAGAGGGACCUGGUAGAUUGUGAGUUAUGGGCGUGUGACCCAGGAGACAAUUUGCUGCUUCCUUCUAACUCAGGUGAUCUAUUGCUUAACAAAAAUUCACCUACCAUCAUGAUAAAGGUAAGGAAUUCACAAGUCCAGCAAAAGUUCACUGUCAAGAAUGCUCUGUCCAACCUUAGAAUGUUGGACUUUGAAUGUCAUUAUGACCUGUGUUACAGGAUUCCUGUGGAGAUAAAUAUUAGUAGUCACUUUUCUAGCUUGAGCUGUCAGCACCUAAAGUGUCAGUAUCCUCUAUGAAGAACAAAAUCAUCAUUUGAAUUCAAUCAGUCAUUCAACAUAUAUUAUGUAAACCAGUCAUUUAACAUAUAUUAUGCAAAGGACUUAGGUUGAAAAUAAAAUGGUAAACACAGACAUAUUACCAAUAUCAAUUUCUGAGAGAGUAGUACUGUGUCUCAGAAGUUAGAAAAGGCAUUUGAAGUGUCUAGUCCAACCUUCAUCAGAUCUACUGCUUCCCUUUGCAACACUGCUUUUCAGGAGAUGCCCAGUUCCUCCAAUGGUAGGGAGAUCCCAGCAAGCACUAGGAUAAGCUGCUAUGAUUGAACCUGAUUGGAUGAUUUUCCCCAUCUAAGAAUAGCAUCACAAGCUAUUCAGGGGUCUCUGGACAAAGAUUUUGGAAAAGAAGCCAGUAGGAAAUGAGAAAAAAAUUUAAAAAAUAGUAAAAAGAAUUAAUUUUGCUGUGCAAUGACGCAAAUGCCCAGAUAGUUGUGAAGCCAGUGAGAAAUCAAGUUGCUAAUGUUUUAGAGAUUCUUAGCUUUUGUGGCAUGUGAGGCACAAUUUGUAAGAGUGUUGUGUUUCAACCUAAGCAUUUUUUGUUGUGACAUGUUGAAUACAACAGUGUAAUUAUUAAUAUGUUAAAUAUCACUCUCAAUGUUUUAUCAGAAUAUUAUCAUUUUUCUUUUAAAAGUGCCAUUUCCAAAGGGCUUGGUAUGCAGUUAAUGGGAUUUAACAGCAGAAUGCAUCUUGGAUUUUGUAAUGGAAAUCAAUGGGAGAAUAAGAUUGAUUUGAUGGAAAGUCUCUGUACUGCAAACUUUGCUGACAAUGACCAUUCCUUUAAGUGAGAGAUACCUAUUCCACAAGUGCUCAAUGAUGAGUUUUUAUGUAUAUGAUAGAUCUAGAUAGUUUGGAAAAUUAAUAAUGUCAGAAGCAGGUUUUGUUUUGUUUUGCUUUUUUUCUGACUAGUCUCUCAUUUGAAUCUGACUAAAUUUCCUUUACCAGAAGGAUGCUUACUUGAGUGCUUUGAAAACUCAGCUGAGUCAUAGUUUUUAAUGCUGGUCCCUGCUCUUCUCAGGAGUAAGUUAUCACAUGCUUUAAAAUCCUCCAUUUGGGCCGGCCGCGGUGGCUCACGCCUGUAGUCCCAGCACUUUGGGAGGCCGAGGCAGGCAGAUCACGAGAUCAGGAGAUCGAGACCAUCCUGGCUGACACGGUGAAAC
Molecule: long non-coding RNA, 7207 nt
Filed under: Homo sapiens (human)
Lineage: Eukaryota; Metazoa; Chordata; Mammalia; Primates; Hominidae
Description: HSALNT0308490
Rfam family: mir-1255 microRNA precursor family (bases 4907-4972)
Source: RNAcentral